This 530-nucleotide ribosomal RNA is filed under the name uncultured bacterium. RNAcentral describes it as "partial 16S ribosomal RNA". It matches the Rfam family "Bacterial small subunit ribosomal RNA", at positions 355 to 895 of the family's 1533-position model. The record is from RNAcentral.
UGGGGAAUAUUGCACAACGGGCGAAAGCCUGAUGCAGCAACGCCGCGUGAGGGACGACGGCCUUCGGGUUGUAAACCUCUUUUAGCAAGGAAGAAGCGAAAGUGACGGUACUUGCAGAAAAAGCGCCGGCUAACUACGUGCCAGCAGCCGCGGUAAUACGUAGGGCGCAAGCGUUAUCCGGAAUUAUUGGGCGUAAAGAGCUCGUAGGCGGUUUGUCGCGUCUGCUGUGAAAACCCGAGGCUCAACCUCGGGCCUGCAGUGGGUACGGGCAGACUAGAGUGCGGUAGGGGAGAUUGGAACUCCUGGUGUAGCGGUGGAGUGCGCAGAUAUCAGGAAGAACACCGAUGGCGAAGGCAGAUCUCUGGGCCGUAACUGACGCUGAGGAGCGAAAGGGUGGGGAGCAAACAGGCUUAGAUACCCUGGUAGUCCACCCCGUAAACGUUGGGAACUAGUUGUGGGGUCCAUUCCACGGAUUCCGUGACGCAGCUAACGCAUUAAGUUCCCCGCCUGGGGAGUACGGCCGCAAGGCU